GACGAACGCUGGCGGCGUGCCUAAUACAUGCAAGUAGAACGCUGAAGGAGGAGCUUGCUUCUCUGGAUGAGUUGCGAACGGGUGAGUAACGCGUAGGUAACCUGCCUGGUAGCGGGGGAUAACUAUUGGAAACGAUAGCUAAUACCGCAUAAGAGUAGAUGUUGCAUGACAUUUGCUUAAAAGGUGCAAUUGCAUCACUACCAGAUGGACCUGCGUUGUAUUAGCUAGUUGGUGGGGUAACGGCUUACCAAGGCGACGAUACAUAGCCGACCUGAGAGGGUGAGCGGCCACACUGGGACUGAGACACGGCCCAGACUCCUACGGGAGGCAGCAGUAGGGAAUCUUCGGCAAUGGACGGAAGUCUGACCGAGCAACGCCGCGUGAGUGAAGAAGGUUGUCGGAUCGGAAAGCUCUGUUGUAAGAGAAGAACGAGUGUGAGAGUGGAAAGUUCACACUGUGACGGUAUCUUACCAGAAAGGGACGGCUAACUACGUG
Molecule: ribosomal RNA, 495 nt
Filed under: uncultured bacterium
Lineage: Bacteria
Description: partial 16S ribosomal RNA
Rfam family: Bacterial small subunit ribosomal RNA
Source: RNAcentral